GUUGCCGAGUCCCCAGUACGACCUGGGAGUGGGCGGAGCGAACAGUAUUAGGAAAAGAUGGAAGCUAAAAAGGACAAAUAAUGGAGAUAAUGCAACAAAAGCAGAGCAUGCUAGCAUGUAGCAGAAAGACCUGCAACGUAUUGCUUCUUGCUUGCAUGCAUAUUGGAUGUAAAUAAUGUUACAACAUAAAAAAA
Molecule: long non-coding RNA, 194 nt
Organism: Penaeus monodon (black tiger shrimp)
Lineage: Eukaryota; Metazoa; Arthropoda; Malacostraca; Decapoda; Penaeidae
Exons: 2
Source: RefSeq, a predicted model, not a curated record